CCAGUGAAUCUAAGGGGGUGACGAGAUUUGAACACACUUGUGAUUGUGAAAGUUAUUCUAUUUUUUGUUGCCUGAAUCUUCUGGUUUAUAUUGACAGGGUUAUAAUUGUUGACGGUCCUUAAGUAUCAAAUAUAAUCAACAAAUAAACAAAGAAAAGGAUCGAAAUGCAACUGACACCCAGACUUAGGGUUUUAUCUGACAGAAUUCUACGAGUUUUGGUGUUUGUCUAUUUCUGCAGGGGGUUAUCAGGAAAUACGAAGGAAAGGCCCACAUGUCGGGUUUACAUAGAGAUAUUAACGUGCC
Molecule: long non-coding RNA, 303 nt
Filed under: Sorghum bicolor (sorghum)
Lineage: Eukaryota; Viridiplantae; Streptophyta; Magnoliopsida; Poales; Poaceae
Description: long non-coding RNA (SBIC_LNC008595)
Source: RNAcentral